Anolis sagrei ordinatus is the source of this 183-nucleotide non-coding RNA. The record is from RefSeq and is a predicted model, not a curated record. NCBI's taxonomy places the organism in Eukaryota, Metazoa, Chordata, Lepidosauria, Squamata, Anolidae.
GAAAGCGAGCAAUAAAUUGCCAUUUCUGAACCACCAGUUCACACUCUGAAUUGUUUCAUCCCAGAGAAAGAAGGUCUGGACCCAUCUAAAAUGGAGCUCCCAUUUGUGGUGGCCAUUCUCAUGGCCUUUGCAUACUGCACCAAUGCACAGCGUUAUUUUCCUCCAUCCCGUGGGGAUUCAAGC